This 75-nucleotide transfer RNA is filed under the name Archaeoglobus profundus. Its description in RNAcentral is "tRNA-Thr". It matches the Rfam family "tRNA". Rfam says of the family: Transfer RNA (tRNA) molecules are approximately 80 nucleotides in length. Their secondary structure includes four short double-helical elements and three loops (D, anti-codon, and T loops). RNAcentral also lists the same sequence under 1 other name. Lineage: Archaea; Methanobacteriati; Methanobacteriota; Archaeoglobi; Archaeoglobales; Archaeoglobaceae. The record is from RNAcentral.
GCCUAUGUAGCUCAGGGGUAGAGCACUUGCUUGGUAAGUAAGAGGUCGUAAGUUCAAGUCUUAUCAUAGGCUCCA